GUAAAUUUGUUGCACAUAUAAAGCUAAUAUGGUGGAUAAACUUUGUGACAGUGUUUAAUCCUCACCUUCUCCUGAAGAUCUUCCGCUUCAAGUUCCUCCUCUACAAUUGCAGUUUUUUCCUCUUCCCCUUCAACAACUAGUUCUUCAGGUGCCUCUUCAGCCGUUGAUUCUUCAGGUUUCUCUUCAAGUGCUAGUUCUUCAGGUGUUUCCUCCUUUGCCAGCUCUUCAGGUGUUUCUUUAGAUGCCGAUUCUUCAGGUUUCUCUUCAGCCAUCGGUUCUUGAGGUAUUUCCUCUACUUGUACUUCAUAUUUCUCCUCAAUUGUUUGUUCUUCAGGUUUCUCUUCAGGUUUCUCCUUAACCACUGGUACAUCAGGUUUCUCUUGAUUAACUGGUUCUUUGGGUUUUUCUUCAACAGCCGAAUCUUCAGGAUUUUCCUCAAUGUCUUGAAAGCAAGCAAUAUCUUUAGUGGUAUUGCAUGGAAUUUCACUGCCAGUUUUGUUGUUCGAGUCUACAAUUAGCAUAUUCUGCAAAAGGAAUUUGAUGUUUCAUUUAGCCUUUUAAUAAAGAAGCAGAUGUGAAUAACAUUACAUGCAUAACUUACAAAAUGGAUAAAUUUUGUGACAGUCCUUGACCCUUACCUUUUCAGGUUUCUCCUCUUCAACAGCUGAUUCUUCAUGUUUCUCUUCAAAUGCUAGUUCUCUGGGUGUUUCUUCCCGUAGUGCUUCUUCAUGUGCUUCUUCAGUUACUGGUUUUUCAGGUUUCUCCUCAAUUGUUGGUUCUUUGAUUGUCUCCUCAACAGAUGGUUCUUCAAGCUUCUCUCCCGUUGUUGAUUUUUCUGGUUUCUCUUCAAUUGCUGGUUGUUCAGGAAUUUUCUCAACAGCUGGUUCUUCUGGCUUCUCUAAAACCAUUGAUUCUUCAGCUUUCUCUUCAAUUGAUGGUUCUUCAUGGUUUUUUUCAACUAUUGGUUCUUCAGUUUUUUCCUCAACGGAUGCAUAGUCAACAAUAUCAUUGUUGGUAUUGCUUGGAAUUGCAUCGUCUGUCAUGUCCUUUGAGUUUACUUUUGGCAUAUUCUACAAUAAAGUUUCAUGUAGUCUUUCAAUAGAUAAACAGAUGUAAAUUUGUUGCAACAUAUAAAGCUAAUAUGGUGGAUAAACUUUGUGACAGUGUUUAAUCCUCACCUUCUCCCGAAGAUCUUCCGCUUUAAGUUCCUCCUCUUCAAUUGCUGUUUUUUCAUCUUUCGUUUCAACAACUAGUUCUUCAGGUGCCUCUUCAGCCGUUGAUUCUUCAGGUUUUUCUUCAAGUGCCAGCUCUUCAGGUGUUUCCUCCUUUGCCAUCUCUUCAGGUGUUUCCUCCUUUGCCAGCUCUUCAGGUGUUUCUUUAGCUGCUGGUUCUUCAGGUUUCUCUUCAGCCGCCAGUUCUUGAGGUAUCUCCUUUUCUACUUCAGAUUUCUCCUCAACUGUUGGUUCUUCAGGUUUCUCUUCAUUAACUGGUUCUUUGGGUUUUUCUUCAACAGCCGAAUCUUCAGGAUUUUCCUCAAUGUCUGGAAAGUGAGCAACAUCUUUAUUGGUAUUGCAUGCAAUUUCACUGUCAGUUUUGUCGUUCAAGUCUACAAUUAGCAUAUUCUGCAAAAAGAAUUUGAUGUUUCAUUUAGCCUAUUAAUAAAGAAGCAGAUGUGAAUAACAUUACAUGCAUAACUUACAAAAUGGAUAAACUUUGUGAUGGUCCUUGACCCUUACCUUUCCAGGCUUCUCCUCUUCAACGGCCAGUUCUUGUUUCUCUUCAAAUGCUAGUUCCCUGGGUGUUUCUUCCUGUAUUGGUUCUUCAUGUGCUUCUUCAGGUACUGGUUUUUCAGGUUUCUCCUCAAUUGUUGGUUCUUCGAUUGUCUCCUCAACAGAUGGUUCUUCAAGGUUCUCUCCCGUUGUUGAGUCUUCUGGUUUCUCUUCAAUUGCUGGUUGUUCAGAAAUUUUCUCAACAGCUGGUUCUUCUGGCUUCUCCAAAACCAUUGAUUCUUCAGCUUUCUCUUCAAUUAAAGGUUCUUCAUGGUUUUUUUCAACUACUGUUUCUUCAGUUUUUUCCUCAACGGAUGCAUAGUCAACAACAUCAUUGUUGGUAUUGCUUGGAAUUGCAUCGUCUGUCAUGUCCUUUGAGCUUACUUUUGGCAUAUUCUGCAAUAAAGUUUCAUGUAGUCUUUCAAUAGAUAAACAGAUGUAAAUUUGUUGCACAUAUAAAGCCAAUAUGGUGGAUACACUUUGUGACAGUGUUUAAUCCUCACCUUCUCCUGAAGAUCUUCCGCUUCAAGUUCUUCCUCUUCAAUUGCUGUUUUUUCAUCUCUCUCUUCAACAACUUGUUCUUCAGGUGCCUCUUCAGCCGUUGAUUCUUCAGGUUUCUCUUCAAGCACUAGUUCUUCAGGUGUUUCCUCCUUUGCCAGCUCUUCAGGUGUUUCUUUAGCUGCCAGUUCUUCAGGUUUCUCUUCAGCUGCCGAUUCUUGAGGUAUUUCCUUUACCUGUACUUUAGAUUUCUCCUCAAAUGUUGGUUCUUCAGGUUUCUCCUUAACCGCAGGUACAUCAGGUUUCUCUUCAGCUGCUGGUUUUUGAGGUUUCUCCUCUACUUGUACCUCGGAUUUCUCCUCAACCAUCGGUUCUUCAGGUUUCUCCUCAACCUCUGGUACGUCAGGUUUCUCUUCAUUAACAAGUUCUUCACUUUUUUCUUCAAUAGUUGAUUCUUCAGGAUUUUCCUUAGUGUCUGGAGAGUAAGCAACAUCAUUAUUGGUAUUGCAUGGAAUUUCACUGCCAGUUGUGUCGUUCGACUCUACCAUUGGCAUAUUCUGCAGAAAGAAUUUAAUGUUUCACUUUGCCUUUCAAUAAAGAAGCCGAUGUAAAUCAGAGGACAUACAUAACUAAAAAAGAUGGAUUAACUUUGUGAUAGUGUUUGACUCUUACCUUUUCGAAAAGAGUUAUCUUUUCAGGUUUCUCCUCUUCAACUGUUGGUUCUUCAUGUUUCUCUUCAAAUGCUAGUUCCUCAGGUGUUUCUUCCUGUAUUGGUUCCUCAGGUGUUUCUUCUUCUGUUACUUGCUUUUCAGGUUUCUCCUCAAUUGUUGGUUCUUUGAUUGUCUCCCCAAUCGAUGGUUCUUCAAGCUUUCCCCCCCCUGUUGGUUUUUCAGGUUUCUCUUCAAUUUUCGGUUGUUCAGGUAUUUUCUCAACUGCCGGUUCUUCUGCCUUCUCCAACACCAUUGAUUCUUCAGAUUCCUCUUCAAUUGAUGAUUCUUCAUGGGUUUUUUUAACUACUGACUCUUCUGUGUUUUCCUCAACUGAUGCAUAAUCAGCAAUGUCGUUGUCGGUAUUGCUUGGAAUUGCAUUGUCUAUCUUGUCCUUUGAGUUUAAUUUUGGCAUAUUCUGCAAUAAAGUUUCAUGUAGUCUUUCAAUAGAUAAACAGAUGUAAAUUUGUUGCACUCAUAAAGCUAAUAUGAUGGAUAAAAUUUGUGACAGUGUUUAAUCCUCACCUUCUCCUGAAAAACUUCUGUUUCAAGUUCCUCCUCUUCAAUUGCUGCUUUUUCAUCUUUCUUCUCUACAACUAAUUCUUCAGGUUCCUCCUCAACGGUUGAUUCUUCAGGCUUUUCUUCAAGUACUAGUUCUUCAGGUGUUUCCUCCUUUGCUAGCUCUUCAGGUGUUCCUUUAGCUGCCGGUUCUUCUGGCUUCUCUUCAGCCUCCGGUUUUUGAGAUAUCUCCUCUACUUGAACUUUAGAUUUCUCAUUAAUUGUUGGUUCUUCAGGUUUCACCUCAACCGCUGGUACAUCAGAUUUCUCCUCAUUAACUGGUUCUUCAGGUUUUUCUUCAACAGCCAAUUCUUCAGGAAUUUCCUCAAUGUCUGGAAAGUGAACAACAUUAUUCUUCGUAUUGCAUGGAAUUUCACUGCCACUGUUGUCGUUCGAGUCUAUAAUUAGCAUAUUCUGCAUAAAGAAUUCAAUGUUUUACUUAGCCUUUCAAUAAAGAAGCAGGUGUGAAUCACAAUACAUGCAUAUCUAACAAAAUGGAUAAACUUUGUGAUAGUGCUUGGCCCUUACCUUUUCUAAAAGAGUUUCCUUUUCAGGUUUCUCCUCUUCGAUGGCUGGUUCUUCAUGUUUCUCUUCAAAUGGUAGUUCAUUUGGUGUUUCUUCUCGUGUUGGUUCUUCAGGUGCUUCCUCAGUUACUGGUUUUACAGGUUUCUCUUCAACUGUUAGUUCUUCGAGUGUCUCCUCCAUCGAUGGUUCCUCAAGUUUCUCUCUUGCUGCUGGUUUUUCAGAUUUAUCUUCAACUAUCGGUUGUUCAGGUUUAUUCUCAAUCGCUGGUUCUGCAGGCUUCUCCGAAACCGCUGAUUCUUCAGAUUUCUCUUCAAUUGGUGAUUCUUCGUGUUUUUUUUCAACUACGGGUUCUUCAGUUUUUUCCUCAACUGAUGCAUAAUCAGCACUAUCAUUGUUGGUAUUGCAUGGAGUUGCAUUUUCUGUCUUGUUCUUUGAGCCUACAAUUGGUGAAUUCUGCAAAAAAUUUAAAAUUUCAUUUAGUCUUUAAAUAGAUAAACAGAUGUAAAUUCAUUGCACAUAUAAAGCUAAUAUGAUAGAUAAACUUUGUGACAGUGUUUAAUCUUCACCUUCUCCUGAAGAGCUUCCAUUUCUAGUUCCUCCUCUUCACUUGCUGGUUUUUCAUCUUUCUCUUCAACAACUAGUUCUUCAGGUGUCUUUAUAGUCUUUGAUUCUUCAGGUGCUUCUUUAUCUGCCCGUUCUUCAGGUUUCUCUUCAGCCACCGGUUCUUGAGGUAUAUUCUCUUGUACUUCAGAUCUCUCCUCAAUUAUUGGUUCUGCAG
RNAcentral lists this long non-coding RNA (4835 nucleotides) under Capsicum annuum. RNAcentral describes it as "long non-coding RNA (CANN_LNC003850)". The record is from RNAcentral. Lineage: Eukaryota; Viridiplantae; Streptophyta; Magnoliopsida; Solanales; Solanaceae.